AGCGCAGGCGGGAAACUAAGCGGAUCUUAAAAGUGCGGGGCUCAACCCCGUGAUGGGGUCCGAACUGGUUUUCUUGAGUGCAGGAGAGGAAAGCGGAAUUCCCAGUGUAGCGGUGAAAUGCGUAGAUAUUGGGAAGAACACCAGUGGCGAAGGCGGCUUACUGGACGGUAACUGACGUUGAGGCUCGAAAGCGUGGGGAGCAAACA
Molecule: ribosomal RNA, 206 nt
Filed under: uncultured bacterium
Lineage: Bacteria
Description: partial 16S ribosomal RNA
Rfam family: Bacterial small subunit ribosomal RNA
Source: RNAcentral